AUGACGGUGAGUUUAUAUAGUCUUACUCUUAUUCCAGGGGAGUGGUUCACUGCGUCAUA
This 59-nucleotide transfer RNA is filed under the name Galaxea fascicularis. RNAcentral describes it as "tRNA-Gly". RNAcentral also lists the same sequence under 2 other names. The record is from RNAcentral. Lineage: Eukaryota; Metazoa; Cnidaria; Anthozoa; Scleractinia; Euphylliidae.